GACGAACGCUGGCGGCGUGCUUAACACAUGCAAGUCGAACGGUAAGGCCCUUCGGGGUACACGAGUGGCGAACGGGUGAGUAACACGUUGGUGAUCUGCCCUGCACUUCGGGAUAAGCCUGGGAAACUGGGUCUAAUACCGGAUAGGACCACUGCCUGCAUGGGUGGUGGUGGAAAGCUUUUGCGGUGUGGGAUGGGCCCGCGGCCGAUCAGCUUGUUGGUGGGGGGAUGGCCUACCAAGGCGACGAAGGGUAGCCGGCCUGAGAGGGUGACCGGCCACACUGGGACUGAGAUACGGCCCAGACUCCUACGGGAGGCAGCAGUGGGGAAUAUUGCACAAUGGGCGCAAGCCUGAUGCAGCGACGCCGCGUGAGGGAUGACGGCCUUCGGGUUGUAAACCUCUUUCAGCACCGACGAAGCGCAAGUGACGGUAGGUGCAGAAGAAGGACCGGCCAACUACGUGCCAGCCGCCGCGGUAA
Molecule: ribosomal RNA, 478 nt
Filed under: uncultured bacterium
Lineage: Bacteria
Description: partial 16S ribosomal RNA
Rfam family: Bacterial small subunit ribosomal RNA
Source: RNAcentral